Molecule: long non-coding RNA, 345 nt
Organism: Tachysurus fulvidraco (yellow catfish)
Lineage: Eukaryota; Metazoa; Chordata; Actinopteri; Siluriformes; Bagridae
Exons: 3
Source: RefSeq, a predicted model, not a curated record
ACACACACACACACACUCAUACACUCUCUUACACACACACACACACACACACACACACACACACACACACCAAGGGGGGACCUUGGGGAGUAGGAGGGAGUGGUCAUUUAGAGCUCUUUCUAACGUUCACUUCAUGUGGUCACUUCACUGGAGGUUUUCCUUGUGCUUUGAGAUGGAAGUGUGUGUUUUCUCAUCUUUACUCACCGUACUGUGUGUGGGUCUGUUUGGGAGAUAUACAUACGCAGCAGAGUCUGAAAGGAGAGAAGAGUUACAGCUAGUACUAAUGACUGUUAUUUACAUAUAAUAAUAAUAAGAAGAAAUAUAGCUGCAAGCAGCGAUGGCGGC